Thalassophryne amazonica is the source of this 161-nucleotide long non-coding RNA. RefSeq lists it as uncharacterized. Lineage: Eukaryota; Metazoa; Chordata; Actinopteri; Batrachoidiformes; Batrachoididae. The record is from RefSeq and is a predicted model, not a curated record. The transcript has 2 exons.
CGAUAACUGUCUGAAAGAUUUCCCACAUUGGUCACAGGUGUACGGUUUCUCUCCACUAUGGAUGCGUUGGUGUUGUUGUUGGCUCGAUAACUGGCUGAAACAUUUCCCACAUUGGUCACAGGUAACUGAAGUCUGUCUCCAUUUGUCUUGUUGUGUUCCUG